Molecule: long non-coding RNA, 538 nt
Organism: Nymphaea colorata (pocket water lily)
Lineage: Eukaryota; Viridiplantae; Streptophyta; Magnoliopsida; Nymphaeales; Nymphaeaceae
Exons: 2
Source: RefSeq, a predicted model, not a curated record
UUUGGGUGACGCCCGGAAACUCGUUUUGGCUCCGAAAACCCCGUUUGGUUUGGGGGCGCAUUUUGGAAGACAGCGAACUGGGGUUCCAGUUUCGCUCAAAACCUGGUUUGCCUGCCCCCCCCUGCCUUUAUCAGAUGAAAACCAGGUUUUCAUUGAGCAGCAGCUUUUGGCGGCGGUCUUUCUGUUGAACGACAUGGGUGCUCUGUCCAACGGCUUUCAUUCCAUUAUGAAUGGGUUACGUCAUUGUGUUUAGGAUUUUGCCAGAUAGUUUUUGUUUUUCUGGAUGGUUCCAUCAGAGGUUGCACCAUUUUUUACACUAGCAGAGAAGCUUCGCAAAAUGACAGUGCAGUUAAUGGGUGGAGGGAGUGGCAUGAUAUCUGUGAAAAUUUUCAUUCCAUCUUUUGUCAAUGACCUCAUAAAUUUCUUUGCUGUUCAUGCGUCUUUUUCUGGUUGUAGAUAGAGCUUUUCAUGCCCUUUUUAUUGGUAUGGUGUACAUUGUUUUGACACUGAAAAACAGAGGUUAUUUGUAAUUGAUUAA